UAAAUAUUCCUACCGUCCGGAAAUACUUGUUCUAAAAAUGGUUGAAAAUGGAUGUAUCUAUAACUAAAAUAAGUUUAGAUACAAGCAUUUCUAAGGCAAGUAUUUAAGGACGGAAGGAGUAGAAG
Non-coding RNA from Triticum aestivum (bread wheat), 125 nucleotides. Lineage: Eukaryota; Viridiplantae; Streptophyta; Magnoliopsida; Poales; Poaceae. The record is from Rfam.